GGGCUCGUAGCUCAGUGGUAGAGCACUUAUCUGAUAAGUAAGGGGUCCAUGGUUCGAAUCCAUGCGAGCCCA
RNAcentral lists this transfer RNA (72 nucleotides) under Candidatus Blackburnbacteria bacterium. RNAcentral's name for it is "tRNA-Ile". It matches the Rfam family "tRNA". From Rfam's summary of the family: Transfer RNA (tRNA) molecules are approximately 80 nucleotides in length. Lineage: Bacteria; Candidatus Blackburniibacteriota. The record is from RNAcentral.